RNAcentral lists this ribosomal RNA (477 nucleotides) under uncultured soil bacterium. RNAcentral's name for it is "bacterial SSU rRNA". It matches the Rfam family "Bacterial small subunit ribosomal RNA", at positions 26 to 518 of the family's 1533-position model. The record is from RNAcentral.
AGGACGAACGCUGGCGGCGUGCUUAACACAUGCAAGUCGAGCGGUAAGGCCUUUCGGGGUACACGAGCGGCGAACGGGUGAGUAACACGUGGGUGAUCUGCCCUGCACUUCGGGAUAAGCCUGGGAAACUGGGUCUAAUACCGGAUAUGACCUCCUAUCGCAUGGUGGGUGGUGGAAAGAUUUAUCGGUGCAGGAUGGGCCCGCGGCCUAUCAGCUUGUUGGUGGGGUAAUGGCCUACCAAGGCGACGACGGGUAGCCGACCUGAGAGGGUGACCGGCCACGACUGGGACUGAGACACGGCCCAGACUCCUACGGGAGGCAGCAGUGGGAAUAUGCACAAUGGGCGAAAGCCUGAUGCAGCGACGCCGCGUGAGGGAUCGACGGCCUUCGGGUUGUAAACCGUCCUUCGAGCAGGACGAAGCGCAAGUGACGGUACCUGCAGAAGAAGCACCGGCUAACACGUAGCCAGCAGCCGAC